This is a non-coding RNA of Mycena filopes, 102 nucleotides long. NCBI's taxonomy places the organism in Eukaryota, Fungi, Basidiomycota, Agaricomycetes, Agaricales, Mycenaceae. The record is from the annotation of a GenBank genome assembly.
AGCAGCAUGGCGCAGUCUGGAAGCGCGCGGGGCCCAUACAGGAUGCACGGCAAGUGUAAUCUCUCAACCCCGAGGUCACUCGAUCGAAACGAGUUGCUGCUA